UUGAACUCAGGAGACGGAGGUUGCAGUGAGCCGAGAUCGUGCCAUUGCACUCCAGCCUGGGUAACAAGAGCGAAACUCCGUCUCAAAAAAAAAAAAGAAAAAAAAUCUUUACCGUACAAGCCAGCCUUUAUCUAAAAGUGAUGAGAGCUUUACAGGAGAUUUCCUAGUAAGAAAAGCUUCUGACUGAAAAAGCAAAAAAGAAAGAGAUAUGAGAGGCAAGAGAUCUUCCAGUCAGGAUCGUGAAUAAUUUUUAUGUCAUUCUCAGUAGUGGGAAGCCAUUGAAGAGUUUGGGGCAAGGGGGUGUAAUGAUAUGGUUUAGCUUUUUUAAAAGAAAUCACUGGCUACUGUAUGUGGAAUGAAUUGAAAAGGGACAAAAUUAAAAGCAAGACAAUAAAUUAGGAUAACAUUGUAGUAGUCGAGGUAGAAGUGAUAGGGGCUUCAAUUAGGAGGAUGUCAGUGGAGACUGGGGAAGAGAAGUUGAUAGGUUGAGGAUAUGUUUGGAUGUAGAGCCCACAGGACUUGAUGAAUUGUACAUUGAGUAUUAGAAUAAGAGGAAUCAAAAGGUUUUGUUUAGCUUGAGGUGUUGGUGGUACUGCCAUUUACUGAGAUACGGUAGACUGACAGAAGAGUGAGAAGGAACUUAAUAACACUGGUCAUACUAAAUUUGAGAUGUCUGUUUGACAUUUUUGCUCUGAAGUAUGUUUUACGUCUUUAUAACUACUGAGAUUCUAAUUCCAUAUCUUUUUAUAGCUUCUCUAGGGAAAAGGAGACCUUCUGCCUACCUUAUUUUGUUUGUACAAAAGCACACUAAAAUUGUAUGGAUUUCAUUAGGCCACAACUUGCGUUCAAUUUUUUUACUCUCCGCUUCCCUCUUUUACUUGUUUAUUUCACUUCUGUUCACUAUCAGUUGCUCUGUCCACUUAUGAUAGUCAGUUUUGGCAGGUUACUCCUCUGUAUUCAUUUAUUCAGUCAACAGAUAUUUAUUGAGCACCUACUAGGUUGCAGCCCUGGCACUGCACUUAGACGCACAAUGGUGAGGGAGAAGAAACCAGUUUUUUUCAUAAAGUGUCCAGUCUAGUGAGGAAAGUAAAAAAAAUAAAAUAAU
Molecule: long non-coding RNA, 1105 nt
Organism: Sapajus apella (tufted capuchin)
Lineage: Eukaryota; Metazoa; Chordata; Mammalia; Primates; Cebidae
Exons: 2
Source: RefSeq, a predicted model, not a curated record